Transfer RNA from Alligator mississippiensis (American alligator), 72 nucleotides. It matches the Rfam family "tRNA". Rfam says of the family: Transfer RNA (tRNA) molecules are approximately 80 nucleotides in length. Their secondary structure includes four short double-helical elements and three loops (D, anti-codon, and T loops). The record is from Rfam. NCBI's taxonomy places the organism in Eukaryota, Metazoa, Chordata, Crocodylia, Alligatoridae.
GGCAGGAUGGUCCAGUGAUUAGGGCCCUAAGCUAGGACUUCAGAGACCUGGGUUCAAUUCUCUGCCUUGCCA